GCAGUAGCCGCGGUAAUACGAAGGGGGCUAGCGUUGCUCGGAUUUACUGGGCGUAAAGGGUGCGCAGGCGGUUCGUUAAGACAGAUGUGAAAUCCCCGGGCUUAACCUGGGAACUGCAUUUGUGACUGGCGAGCUAGAGUAUGGCAGAGGGGGGUAGAAUUCCACGUGUAGCAGUGAAAUGCGUAGAGAUGUGGAGGAAUACCGAUGGCGAAGGCAGCCCCCUGGGCCAAUACUGACGCUCAUGCACGAAAGCGUGGGGAGCAAACAGGAUUAGAUACCCGCGUAGUCCCUGUCUCUUAUAC
Molecule: ribosomal RNA, 302 nt
Filed under: uncultured bacterium
Lineage: Bacteria
Description: partial 16S ribosomal RNA
Rfam family: Bacterial small subunit ribosomal RNA
Source: RNAcentral